UCGGACGGUGAACGCUUUCGGGUGGGGAUCAGUGGCGAACGGGUGAGUAACACGUGAGUAACCUGCCCUUCACUCUGGGAUAACUCCGGGAAACCGGGGCUAAUACUGGAUAUGACCUACUCGGGCAUCCGAUGUGGGUGGAAAGAUUUAUUGGUGGGGGAUGGACUCGCGGCCUAUCAGCUUGUUGGUGAGGUAAUGGCUUACCAAGGCGACGACGGGUAGCCGGCCUGAGAGGGCGAUCGGCCACACUGGGACUGAGACACGGCCCAGACUCCUACGGGAGGCAGCAGUGGGGAAUAUUGCACAAUGGGCGAAAGCCUGAUGCAGCGACGCCGCGUGAGGGAUGAAGGCCUUCGGGUUGUAAACCUCUUUCAGCAGGGAAGAAGCAGCCGGGUUUUCUUGGUUGUGACGGUACCUGCAGAAGAAGCACCGGCUAACUACGUGCCAGCAGCCGCGGUAAUACGUAGGGUGCGAGCGUUGUCCGGAAUUAUUGGGCGUAAAGAGCUUGUAGGCGGUUUGUCGCGUCUGCUGUGAAAUUUCGGGGCUCAACCCCGAACUUGCAGUGGGUACGGGCAGACUAGAGUGUGGUAGGGGAGACUGGAAUUCCUGGUGUAGCGGUGAAAUGCGCAGAUAUCAGGAGGAACACCGAUGGCGAAGGCAGGUCUCUGGGCCACUACUGACGCUGAGAAGCGAAAGCAUGGGGAGCGAACAGGAUUAGAUACCCUGGUAGUCCAUGCCGUANACGUUGGGAACUAGGUGUGGGUCNCAUUCCACGAGAUCCGUGCCGCAGCUAACGCAUUAAGUUCCCCGC
RNAcentral lists this ribosomal RNA (811 nucleotides) under uncultured bacterium. Its description in RNAcentral is "bacterial SSU rRNA". It matches the Rfam family "Bacterial small subunit ribosomal RNA", at positions 62 to 872 of the family's 1533-position model. The record is from RNAcentral.